RNAcentral lists this ribosomal RNA (490 nucleotides) under uncultured bacterium. Its description in RNAcentral is "partial 16S ribosomal RNA". It matches the Rfam family "Bacterial small subunit ribosomal RNA", at positions 30 to 507 of the family's 1533-position model. The record is from RNAcentral.
AUUGAACGCUGGCGGCAGGCCUAACACAUGCCAGUCGAACGGUAACAGGAAGCAGCUUGCUGCUUCGCUGACGAGUGGCGGACGGGUGAGUAAUGUCUGGGAAGCUGCCUGAUGGAGGGGGAUAACUACUGGAAACGGUAGCUAAUACCGCAUAAUGUCGCAAGACCAAAGAGGGGGACCUUCGGGCCUCUUGCCAUCGGAUGUGCCCAGAUGGGAUUAGCUUGUUGGUGGGGUAACGGCUCACCAAGGCGACGAUCCCUAGCUGGUCUGAGAGGAUGACCAGCCACACUGGAACUGAGACACGGUCCAGACUCCUACGGGAGGCAGCAGUGGGGAAUAUUGCACAAUGGGCGCGAGCCUGAUGCAGCCAUGCCGCGUGUAUGAAGAAGGCCUUCGGGUUGUAAAGUACUUUCAGCGGGGAGGAAGGGAGUAAAGUUAAUACCUUUGCUCAUUGACGUUACCCGCAGAAGAAGCACCGGCUAACUCCGUG